Molecule: ribosomal RNA, 506 nt
Filed under: uncultured bacterium
Lineage: Bacteria
Description: partial 16S ribosomal RNA
Rfam family: Bacterial small subunit ribosomal RNA
Source: RNAcentral
GAUGAACGCUAGCUACAGGCUUAACACAUGCAAGUCGAGGGGUAACGAGAGGAAAGCUUGCUUUCCUUGUCGACGACCGGCGCACGGGUGAGUAACGCGUAUCCAACCUGCCCCCAACCAGGGAAUAACCUUGCGAAAGUAAGACUAAUACCCUAUAAUUUUCUCAGAUGUCAUCUGACGAGGAAUAAAGAUUUAUCGGUUGUGGAUGGGGAUGCGCAUGAUUAGCUUGUUGGCGGGGUAACGGCCCACCAAGGCAACGAUCAGUAGGGGUUCUGAGAGGAAGGUCCCCCACAUUGGAACUUAGACACGGUCCAAACUCCUACGGGAGGCAGCUGUGAGGAAUAUUGGUCAAUGGGCGGAAGCCUGAACCAGCCAAGUAGCGUGCAGGAUGACGGCCCUAUGGGUUGUAAACUGCUUUUAUACAGGAAUAAAGUUAGCCACGUGUGGUUAUUUGUAGGUACUGUAUGAAUAAGGACCGGCUAAUUCCGUGCCAGCCGCCGCCGUAA